This 305-nucleotide long non-coding RNA is filed under the name Amphibalanus amphitrite. Its description in RNAcentral is "uncharacterized LOC122369695, transcript variant X1". The record is from RNAcentral. Lineage: Eukaryota; Metazoa; Arthropoda; Thecostraca; Balanomorpha; Balanidae.
AGACAAUAUACGAGAUGAGACUGCCCAGAUCGGCGGCUGUCACCGCCCGCGGCCAUCAGAGGUCGUUGCCGGGUUCAAUCGGCUCGGCGGGCCGGUCUAGCUGCCAGGAGCCGACUGCCGCCGGCGCCGACCCGUCCGUCACCCGGCAAGGAAGCUCAUCAAUCGGACCCGGCCCGUGGCAUACCAAACGCCCCCCCCCCCCCAUCCGUCCCCGCUGCGUGGCGCCGACUUUCCCUGAAAAACACUUUUGCUUAUUGUAUGUUUUUAUUUGUAGAUGUUGCAAUACAAUCCAAAGAGCGACUCGA